This 72-nucleotide transfer RNA is filed under the name Dipodomys ordii (Ord's kangaroo rat). It matches the Rfam family "tRNA". Rfam says of the family: Transfer RNA (tRNA) molecules are approximately 80 nucleotides in length. Their secondary structure includes four short double-helical elements and three loops (D, anti-codon, and T loops). Further hydrogen bonds mediate the characteristic L-shaped molecular structure. tRNAs have two regions of fundamental functional importance: the anti-codon, which is responsible for specific mRNA codon recognition, and the 3' end, to which the tRNAs corresponding amino acid is attached (by aminoacyl-tRNA synthetases). tRNAs cope with the degeneracy of the genetic code in two manners: having more than one tRNA (with a specific anti-codon) for a particular amino acid; and 'wobble' base-pairing, i.e. permitting non-standard base-pairing at the 3rd anti-codon position. Lineage: Eukaryota; Metazoa; Chordata; Mammalia; Rodentia; Heteromyidae. The record is from Rfam by way of RNAcentral.
GGAGCCAUGGCUUAGCAGUAGAGCACAUGGCUAGCAAGCAUGAGGCCCUGAGUUCAAACCUCAGUAUCCCUC